UUCUCAUAAUUGUUGUGAAUUUUAACAUGAAAAAGCUAGAUGUCAGCCACGCGAAUUUGCUUAACAUGUUGAAAAAUGUUGAGAAUCACUUUCCAACCAAGAAAGACCAAGUCUAACUGAUAGGGACCAAAGAAUCUUCUAAAAAAAGAACAAUUCAAAUAAGGUAUAAGGACAGGCAAAAACAAAGAAUAAUAAGAACAAAACUGAUACGGAUAGUAAAG
Molecule: long non-coding RNA, 221 nt
Filed under: Panax ginseng (ginseng)
Lineage: Eukaryota; Viridiplantae; Streptophyta; Magnoliopsida; Apiales; Araliaceae
Description: long non-coding RNA (PGIN_LNC002305)
Source: RNAcentral